UUAUACAAACACACCCCCUUCUCCUAGCCGUUGGUUCGACGACUGGAAGACCUAGCCCCAGCACGGCAUGCCGCACGGCGAUGGCCACACGACCCUCUCCUCUUCCCUGACCUGCUCCGCGGUAGACACACGAGGGCAGUCCGCGCCGCGCUGAUUUGUUUCCGCCCCAGAUUCCUUCUGGUACGCGAGGAGGAUCCUUAACGAGACGGUAUGUGCAAAAAUGACCUUGAGCCAGCAUUGUACCUGCACGCUCCAAUCUGGCAGACUGUUUCUGAUGAGAGGGUCUAGAACUCCAGAUUGGCCAAGUACAUGAGUGCUGUCAAUAGAAUGUUAAUCAAGUUACCAUUCCGCCAAAGAGAGGGAGGUGAGGGUAGCAGGCCGAAGCUACGGUAGCCCUGCAACUGGAGGUCAUUGAUGAGGGCCUAGAUUUGAAAGUCAUUGUAAUAGAUUGGAGAAGAACAUAUCAUGGAAUGUAAUUGUAUACACAUCCUUCCAAUCAGCACCUGUAGAAAAUACAGAAAUGUGAUGCUGCAGAGGUCAUGCUGUCUUGCCAGUUCCAUGAAUGAAAUACUAAGGAUGAGUUGGACACAGUGCAAAGAUGGAGGGGGAUACGAAUUUGGGCGAUGAGUGAGUGGAUUCUGCUCUGGAAGCGGGUGUGCUGAACCAACAGGAUAUAUAUGAAUGCCCCAUGGACCUUGUACAAUUUCGUGCUUAAGAUGUACUGCGAGAAAAGAAUCUUGAUUGGAGCAACUAAAUGGAAAACCCACACUACCAGUUACAGCUUUGGAAGGGAAACAAUUGCAAAGGCAAUGCAUCAAAUGAAACGCUUGAUGCCAAUGAUGAAUACUACUGUGCAUGAUAAUAGUAUGAACAGACAGCAGGAGUGAAGGGCUGAAGGAAGACGCAUGUAUGCGUACCGAGGGAGGUGCUUAAGCCGCCUACGAGAGACAGGGUGAGAGCAACAGCGACCUUGGGAUCCAUAUGAACAGACCGGCUUUCUGAUGGAGAUGUAUAUGAGCUUUAUAUACAGGCCAGGAUGGUGACUAUGACGU
Long non-coding RNA from Triticum dicoccoides, 1052 nucleotides. RefSeq lists it as uncharacterized. The record is from RefSeq and is a predicted model, not a curated record. NCBI's taxonomy places the organism in Eukaryota, Viridiplantae, Streptophyta, Magnoliopsida, Poales, Poaceae. The transcript has 5 exons.